Molecule: long non-coding RNA, 1353 nt
Filed under: Ananas comosus (pineapple)
Lineage: Eukaryota; Viridiplantae; Streptophyta; Magnoliopsida; Poales; Bromeliaceae
Description: long non-coding RNA (ACOM_LNC039848)
Source: RNAcentral
ACCCCCCCGGUUCUCUCUUUUUCUAUCUCCCUCUCUCUCCCUUUCUCUUUCUCUUUCUCUCUCUCUCCAUCUCUCUCUUUCUCUCUCUGUCUCUCUCUCUCUCUAGCGCGCGUGCACGGGGGGCACGGGUCGCGCGCACGCCCCACCGGUUCUCUCUCUCUCUCUCCCCCUCUCUUCCUUUCUCUCUUUUUCUCUCUCCCUAUCUCUCUAUUUCUCUCUCUCUCUAAACCUCCUUAGAUCUCCAUUUUUCACUCCUCAGCUUCCUUUUUUUUGUGUGUAGCAGCGACAAUACUCUUUCUCUCUCUCCCUGUAACAUACCGAACUUCUAAAACUUUGAAGUUACGGUGUACAUUUGGUUGGAAAGCCAUUUGAAUGGUCUCGGUGAAAUUCGGUGAAGUUCUGGAGCAAUUGGGCGUUUCGGUGCGCAUAGGUGCGGAAACUGGACCCGAAAGGCUAUAUUAGACCAUGAGAUAAAUCCAGCAUUAGCGUGGAUGAAAAGAUGAUGAAAAUAUGUUCGAAAACAUGUUUGGAGAAUCUCGGUUCGAUUUGAAAAGAAUCGGAGGUCAAACGAGCGAAAACGAGCGAAAACAUAGCGAAAACGGACGAAGCUGAAAUUUGGCUAAGUCUGGGCUAGAGGUCCCUCUGGGACCGUGUAAUACACGGAACUUUUGCAAAUUUGCGGAGUUCGAGUGUGUGGAAUGAUGUGUGGAUCAAUCCUACAUGUUCUAAAAGGUUAGAACAAGUUUUUGGAUAAGUUAGAGGAUGAUUGGAAUGCUAAAAGUGAGAAAAUGCAUUGAUCUGCGAAAAUCGGCAUUUUUCUGCUUGUUGUACCGGUACAGCCAUCACCUUGUACCGGUACAGCAUUGACAGAUACGUGGCAGUAAGGCUAUUUUGGUCAUUUCACAUUUGAUACUUAUCUAUACCCCCCAUGCACGACCCGGGAGCUCAGUGGAGCUUGCUGGAGACCAGAGAAAGCCUCUACCAUCUUCUUUUCUCUCUCUCUAAGAUUUUUCUCUCUCUCGACAAAGAAGUCGCCGUUUUGCACCGUUGUCAUCGCCGAGCUCGCUCUUCGCUGUUUGGGAGUGUCGCUCAGCCUUGGUGGACGUGUGAGGGAGUGUUUUGGAGAGCUUUUCGCAGCCCUGGACCAGUAACUCACUGGUUGCAAGCUUGAGAAGGUAAUCGGCUCACUUUUUCAAUUUUCGGCAAUCUAUUGGACGAGUUAUGUAUAGUUUCGGGAUUGUUGCUUCUAGUUGCUUUAAUCUGAGAUUUCAGCAAUUAAAGUUGGAUUAAUUAGCUGUGAAUUAACCUCCUUAGACCAGGGUUAAGCUACUUUGAAGCUUAAUGAAAAUAUUU